GAUGAACGCUGGCGGCGUGCCUAAUACAUGCAAGUCGAGCGAACAGACGAGGAGCUUGCUCCUCUGACGUUAGCGGCGGACGGGUGAGUAACACGUGGAUAACCUACCUAUAAGACUGGGAUAACUUCGGGAAACCGGAGCUAAUACCGGAUAAUAUAUUGAACCGCAUGGUUCAAUAGUGAAAGACGGUUUUGCUGUCACUUAUAGAUGGAUCCGCGCCGCAUUAGCUAGUUGGUAAGGUAACGGCUUACCAAGGCAACGAUGCGUAGCCGACCUGAGAGGGUGAUCGGCCACACUGGAACUGAGACACGGUCCAGACUCCUACGGGAGGCAGCAGUAGGGAAUCUUCCGCAAUGGGCGAAAGCCUGACGGAGCAACGCCGCGUGAGUGAUGAAGGUCUUCGGAUCGUAAAACUCUGUUAUUAGGGAAGAACAAAUGUGUAAGUAACUAUGCACGUCUUGACGGUAGCUAAUCAGAAAGCCACGGCUAACUACGUGC
RNAcentral lists this ribosomal RNA (498 nucleotides) under uncultured bacterium. RNAcentral's name for it is "partial 16S ribosomal RNA". It matches the Rfam family "Bacterial small subunit ribosomal RNA", at positions 28 to 508 of the family's 1533-position model. The record is from RNAcentral.